GUGUUGGUAUGGCUUAGCAAUUUUAAUGUUCAGACAUUUUUGAUGUAGUGAUAGAAUACACCAUCAACUUUGCUUAAUAAAUAUUUUAUUUGCCUGCUAUUACCAUACUUGUGUAAAAAUUUUGUGAUAGAUCAAUUGAAAAUUAACAAAAACAAAUAUUUAAAUAAAAUUUUACCUUAAAAAAAAAUAUUGCAUAGUGAAAAUGAUGAGCCAAAGUUUUCAUAUUCAUUCAACAAAGGUGUUGGCAGCCAACUCAGUAUUUACUAAGCCCAUCUUUGGCUUUGAUGAUGGCUUGGAUAUAUUCUGUUCCUACACUCUGCCAGUUUUUUGUUGUAAUCAGUGUCAGUUUCUUCCCAGCAUGAAACAACUGUGGGGCCAUGGGACGAUAUUGACAGGCGUUGGCCUAAGUGUGGUGAGGGAUGCGCAUAAGGAUGGGUAAUGAGAAUCGGCGAAUAAAAUGGAGACGACGUUCAAUGAGAACAACUUCCUUUAUUUGAGAGAUUCCAAUCACAAUGUAUGUGACUCGUGAUUUUACAAUGAGAGGAGAAAUACCUGAUAUAUAUAUAGUUUAAUUCUCCAGGAGACACAGUCGAAACAACCGGAAGAUUCUAAACCGAUGAAUUAGAUGGGCAAUCACAAUUGACAGUCUUUAGUCCAUAAACAAAUCAAGGAUGCACCUAGAGGAGAGA
Molecule: long non-coding RNA, 689 nt
Filed under: Androctonus crassicauda
Lineage: Eukaryota; Metazoa; Arthropoda; Arachnida; Scorpiones; Buthidae
Source: RNAcentral